This 435-nucleotide long non-coding RNA is filed under the name Equus caballus (horse). RNAcentral describes it as "lncRNA (ENSECAG00000051257.1)". Lineage: Eukaryota; Metazoa; Chordata; Mammalia; Perissodactyla; Equidae. The record is from RNAcentral.
GGAUGCGCAGGCCCAUCUCCAUGGCAGCUUCAGCAGGGAGAGAAGAAGCUCCUGGGGCAGAGUCAUCUAUUCCCACCAAGAGCUCAGGGUGGUUGCAAGGGCAAAUUCCUCUGGAGGGAAGGAAGGAACAUGAGGAAGAGCCCCAGUCCAUACGGAAUGUGGAGGAUGGUCCCAAUCCCCCAGGAAGCGGAACUGGAGCUCAGCCAGCUCUACUUAAUGAAUUAAGUCUGAAGAAGGUAAGUACAGACACAUCAGCUGCAAAUCCAGAUCCUCUUCCUGCUCAUAUCAGCUUUUCCGAGAACAAAUUUGCAUCUGCUUGAUUCUGCUGCCAUCUACUGGGAAAAACAAAAACAAAAAUUAAACUACAGAGGGAGGAAAUAAACAUCCUCUCUAAUCUCAGUAUGCUUUGACCUACUCUGAAAUGUGGAAUUAAAC